UUCCUUAUGAUAGAGUAUCAAGAGGUGACAAAGGAUCUUGAAAAUGAUUGAUCCUUCUUAUAGAGUCCCAGUUCCAACUUGAUGCACUCAAAAGUGCUGCCUUAUGAGAAUAGUUUCUAGCUCUGUGUUUUCUUUUGUUAAUGCUGCUUAUUUUUAUUGGCUCAGGUGCCAUUCCUAGCCACUGCUGGGUCAAGAACCCGUGGCGAUCUAUUAAUUAUGUGAUUAGGGAUGUUAUUAUGGUUUUUGGAUUAGCUGCAUUGGCAAAUUUCUUUGACAGUUGGGUUGUUUAGCCUUUUUACUGGGCUGCCCAGGGGACAAUAUUUUGGGCACUGUUUGUUCUUGGUCAUGUUUGGUAAUAUACACAACAUGCUAACAAUUCCUGUUUUGGAAAUUAAGUUUGAAGGCUCAUUUUUGUGUUUGUGUUUGUUUUUUUUUUUUUUUUGAAUCUGCAGUGGCCAUGGAAGCUUUUCCAACAGCUCUUUGUUGAACAGUGUUGUUGGACAUCUCCUGUAUUCGUCAAUUCUUGUGCCUUAUCAUGGAUGGAGAAUUAGCCACAGAACUCACCAUCAGAAUCAUGGACAUGUU
Non-coding RNA from Camellia sinensis, 585 nucleotides. The record is from RefSeq and is a predicted model, not a curated record. Lineage: Eukaryota; Viridiplantae; Streptophyta; Magnoliopsida; Ericales; Theaceae.